GCGGCGGACGGGUGAGUACACGUGGGCACCUGCCUUAUAGUGGGGAAUAGCCUCUCGAAAGGGAGAUUAAUACCGCAUAAG
Molecule: ribosomal RNA, 81 nt
Filed under: uncultured Clostridium sp.
Lineage: Bacteria; Bacillati; Bacillota; Clostridia; Eubacteriales; Clostridiaceae
Description: partial 16S ribosomal RNA
Source: RNAcentral